Molecule: ribosomal RNA, 578 nt
Filed under: Naganishia onofrii
Lineage: Eukaryota; Fungi; Basidiomycota; Tremellomycetes; Filobasidiales; Filobasidiaceae
Description: eukaryotic LSU rRNA
Rfam family: 5.8S ribosomal RNA (bases 141-294)
Source: RNAcentral
CUCACGGGCUUUCUAUCAUAUCCAUAACACCUGUGCACUUGUUGGAUGAUCUAAAGACAUAGGGUAAAACCUAAAGUCAAUAGUCAUCCACUUACACUAAACAAUAAUGUAACAAAUGUAGUCUUAUUAUAACAAAAUAAAACUUUCAACAACGGAUCUCUUGGCUCUCGCAUCGAUGAAGAACGCAGCGAAAUGCGAUAAGUAAUGUGAAUUGCAGAAUUCAGUGAAUCAUCGAAUCUUUGAACGCACCUUGCGCUCCUUGGUAUUCCGAGGAGCAUGCCUGUUUGAGUGUCAUGAAAACCCUCAACCUUAGAUUGGUUAUUUGACCUUUCUUUGGCUUGGAUUUGGACGUUUGCCGAUGUCAAGUCGGCUCGUCUUAAAAGUAAUAGCUGGAUCUGUCUCGCGACAUGGUUUGACUUGGCGUAAUAAGUAUUUCGCUAAGGACAUCUUCGGAUGGCCCUGUUGCAGGACUAAAGACCGCUUUCUAAUCCAUUGAUCUUCGGAUUAAUAUUCAUAACAUCUGGCCUCAAAUCAGGUAGGACUACCCGCUGAACUUAAGCAUAUCAAUAAGCGGAGGA